UGGGCACUGGCCUUUCAGCAUCUCCCAAAGAUGAGAAGGGCCCUCUGUCUCUGCCCCACCAGGCCCCACAGUGAUGAGGGUGAUUAUGACUACUUCUGUGACAUGUAAGGCACCAAAAUUAGCAUGUGAGGUCGGACACGAGAGAAAGCAAGGGCACUGGACUGUCUGGAGGAUGUUUUAAGGUCACAGGCUUAGGAUGUUAAAGACUCAAGAUGACAUUAUUCCUACCUCAAAAUAACAACAGCUUCUACAUUGCACACCCACUGGCUACCAACCUUCCAUUAACAUGCAAUCAUUCCUAGGCUGCCUCAAAGACACAAGACAACAGCUG
RNAcentral lists this long non-coding RNA (331 nucleotides) under Pan troglodytes (chimpanzee). RNAcentral describes it as "long non-coding RNA NONPTRT009658". Lineage: Eukaryota; Metazoa; Chordata; Mammalia; Primates; Hominidae. The record is from RNAcentral.